GUUUUUCUCUUUCAAAAUUUUUCCUUCUUAACGUUUUUUCCACGAUUCUUGUUUCACAAUUUCAGUUAAAUUUGAUGUUUUAUGAGUUGAUAUAGUUGAAAAAAUUAAAUUUUGGAUGAGAAUUGGAACUGGGUUUUGUUUUGUUGCGAUAAAUGGAGGAUAAUCGGAGCGAUAAAUGGAGGAUAAUCGGAGUUGAAUGAAUAUUGUAGAUGAUUUUGGGUUGAUUUUUUGUUGUUGUUGGUUGAAUUUUUUCGAAGAUAACUGAUAUUUUGAAGAAAAAAGUGGUUGAAAAAAGUUUCUUCUCCAAAAGGCGAACAAAUUAAAAAAAAAUAUGAGAAGAAAAGAAAAGCAAAAGAAAUUGAAAAGUCAAACAAUGUUGAUGACGAUGUUGAGAACUCUUUGUGCUAAUGAAUCUGAAGAAGACACAGAGGAAGAGUUGUUCUGGCUGAGAUACAAAAAUUAGCUGAGAUUAUCCCAUUGUGUCCCAAGCUUGUAAUUUCUACGAUAAGAAAGGAACUAUGGUUUGUAUAUGGUAACAUACGCAGAGUGUUUUUCUUAUGGUAAAAGAGUUCCUUUGAUUGAAUUCAAUCCCAACACACUUCGUACAUGUUAUGCUGGACUAUUGUGGGACUGUAUAUGGCAUGAGAAAACAAGAAGCAAAUGCUCAUGGCGAUGUCGAAGCACCCUUGAGGCCUGGCAGGCAAAGCCGAAUAACUAGUGUCACUAAAGUUUAAGAAAUAUGAUGAUUGUUGAGUUUAUUACAUUGGAUAGUCGACAAACUGGUGUAUGGAUGUUGUUUUUUUUUGUACAAACUUAUUUCAUGUUUUGAAGUGUUUAAAUGUUACUUAUUUUGAAGUGAAUGAAAGUAAUUCAUUUCUGUUGUAUAAGUUGAAUAUGUUUUCAACA
This is a long non-coding RNA of Capsicum annuum, 906 nucleotides long. RefSeq lists it as uncharacterized. The record is from RefSeq and is a predicted model, not a curated record. Lineage: Eukaryota; Viridiplantae; Streptophyta; Magnoliopsida; Solanales; Solanaceae. The transcript is spliced from 4 exons.